Molecule: long non-coding RNA, 330 nt
Organism: Octodon degus (degu)
Lineage: Eukaryota; Metazoa; Chordata; Mammalia; Rodentia; Octodontidae
Exons: 3
Source: RefSeq, a predicted model, not a curated record
CAACUGUUCAACCAAGCUCAGUGAUGUGUGCCUAUAAUCGCAGGAUUCUGGGAGCUGAGAUGAAGCAGAUCACAAGCUUGAGCCCUGCCUGGAUAACUUGAGAAUUUUUUGACUUGUGCUAUUACAGAAGGGUUCCAAGCAGAGGAAAUGAAGAACAACCAUAAGUGCUGAGGUGAGGAAUAUGUUCUUUAGUUUGAGCAUGGUAAUUCUGCAAUGUACAUGUGUCUCGAAAGAAGAUGGCAAAUACAAAAACAGCAAGUGUUUAUUCUACUGAGCUAGCUCCCUUGCCCAUGAGAUUUAGAAUGGGACCCAGAAGAACUCAAGGAAAAG